RNAcentral lists this ribosomal RNA (497 nucleotides) under uncultured bacterium. RNAcentral's name for it is "partial 16S ribosomal RNA". It matches the Rfam family "Bacterial small subunit ribosomal RNA", at positions 28 to 507 of the family's 1533-position model. The record is from RNAcentral.
GAUGAACGCUGGCGGCGUGCCUAAUACAUGCAAGUCGAGCGAACGGUCGAGAAGCUUGCUUCUCUGAUGUUAGCGGCGGACGGGUGAGUAACACGUGGAUAACCUACCUAUAAGACUGGGAUAACUUCGGGAAACCGGAGCUAAUACCGGAUAAUAUUUUGAACCGCAUGGUUCAAAAGUGAAAGACGGUCUUGCUGUCACGUAUAGAUGGAUCCGCGCUGCAUUAGCUAGUUGGUAAGGUAACGGCUUACCAAGGCAACGAGGCAUAGCCGACCUGAGAGGUGGAUCGCCCACCCGGGAACUGGGACACGGACCAGACUCCUACGGGAGGCAGCAGUAGGGAAUCUUCCGCAAUGGGCGAAAGCCUGACGGAGCAGCGCCGCGUGAGUGAUGAAGGUCUUCGGAUCGUAAAACUCUGUUAUUAGGGAAGAACAUAUGUGUAAGUAACUGUGCACAUCUUGACGGUACCUAAUCAGAAAGCCACGGCUAACUACGUG